RNAcentral lists this long non-coding RNA (1321 nucleotides) under Mus musculus (house mouse). RNAcentral's name for it is "predicted gene, 35430". Lineage: Eukaryota; Metazoa; Chordata; Mammalia; Rodentia; Muridae. The record is from RNAcentral.
AGAACACCUCUUCUUCCAAAACCACUCAUAGCUCUUUCCCUUCUUUCCAUGGGAGAAUCACGUUCAAGAUGUACCUGUGAGAAGUUGUUUUAUAUUUCUUAUAAUCUCUGAGCUGUCUCCUUUCCUAAGAGGAUAUAAUGAUUCUCAUUAAUAGCCUUCUAGAAGACUCAACUAGCUCCAAAGCAUGUGACUGAGUGGGCAAGAGUGUUCACUAUGCACCCAGUUUAGGAGUUCUGGAAAUUGGCGCAACAAGAGAAAAUGCACACUCAAGUAUUGGGGUCCAAUAGAGAGACAGGUACAGGCUUUACUGGACCCUUAUUUGCCCUGGGAUACAAAGUCUCUGAAUCAAACUGCCAAGUUUACAUAUUCCAAUGGAUUGAGAUCAAGUAGACGCUGAGAAGAAAGCACACGUGUCAGUUUUCCAGGAAAGCAGCACUUGAAUGCCAAUAGGGGAUACUGAUGCCAAAAGAGCUGGGUCUUCUGCAUCUUCUUAGAGGUCCUGGCCAAGAAGGAGAAGAACGCUGUAGAGACCAACAAGUAUGUAAAAAUCCUCCAGGACCUUCAAGACCCUUCCAUAGCAGAUCUGCUACUGAUGGAUCCUCCACUCCCUUAACUCCCAACCAUGGCCCCAAUUCCCACAGCUCCUCCUCAAGGAUAUCCCUUGAGCCCUUGUCCAUCAUCCCUAAACUCCCUUCCUCUGGCCCCAGCAAGGGGGUAGAGUGGGGAGGGACCCUUGGAAUUAGGACUGGCCAUGGGGACCUGGAGCAACAGUGGCCCUCCCCCUCCGAGCCUAUGGCCCUUAGAUGAGGAUUACAAUCAGACCAUGCAAUAUUGGCCUUUCUCUUUGGCCAACUUGUACAACUGGAAGUUCCACCCCCACUUCCUUUUCAGAUAACCCCAGGGGCUGACUAAUCUCUUUGAGACUGUUUUAUUUCCACAUCAGCCUACUUGGGAUGAUAUCCAACAACUCAUGAUAGUGCCCUUCACAACUGAAGAGUGAGAGAGGAUAAAGCAGGAAGCAAGAAAGAAUGUCCCGUCAGACACGAGGGCACUAUCUAUUGACCAGACCAUCAUCAACAGCUGGUUUUCACUGACUAGACCUGACUGAGACUUUAAUAUUGCCAUAAGGUGAUAUUAAAGGUAAGCGGCAACUGAAGGUAUGUCACCAGGCACCAUUAGCAGGUCUCAAAGGUACUGCACAACGACCCACAACUUUGACCAAGUUAUGUGAGGUUAGACAGGGAUCAGAUGAGUUGUCUGCUGCCUUUCUAGAGCAUUCCACCAGUACACACUCUAUGACCCCAGCAGCAAGGAGCACAAG